This 382-nucleotide unclassified non-coding RNA is filed under the name uncultured Alphaproteobacteria bacterium. RNAcentral's name for it is "contains 16S-23S intergenic spacer region". The record is from RNAcentral. Lineage: Bacteria; Pseudomonadati; Pseudomonadota; Alphaproteobacteria.
UCCGGCUUGACGCCGGCAGUCCCCCGAGAGUCCUCAGCAUUACCUGUUAGCAACACGGGGCAAGGGUUGCGCUCGUUGCGGGACUUAACCCAACAUCUCACGACAUGAGCUGACGACAGCCAUGCAGCACCUGUCUCCGGUCCAGCCGAACUGAAGGGAUCCAUCUCUGGAACCCGCGACCGGGAUGUCAAACGCUGGUAAGGUUCUGCGCGUUGCUUCGAAUUAAACCACAUGCUCCACCGCUUGUGCAGGCCCCCGUCAAUUUCUUUGAGUUUCAACCUUGCGGCCGUACUUCCCAGGCGGGAUACUUAAUGCGUUAGCUGCGGCACCGAAACUCCAAGAGCCCCGACAGCUAGUCAUCAUCGUUUACGGCGUGGACUAC